UACGUAGGGUGCAAGCGUUAUUCGGAAUUACUGGGCGUAAAGAGCGCGCAGGCGGUCGUUCAAGUCGCGUGUGAAAGCCCCCGGCUCAACUGGGGAGGGUCAUUCGAUACUGCUCGGCUCGAAGACAGGAGAGGGAAGUGGAAUUCCCGGUGUAGUGGUGAAAUGCGUAGAUAUCGGGAGGAACACCAGUGGCGAAGGCGACUUUCUGGCCUGUUCUUGACGCUGAGGCGCGAAAGCUAGGGGAGCAAACGGG
Molecule: ribosomal RNA, 253 nt
Filed under: uncultured bacterium
Lineage: Bacteria
Description: partial 16S ribosomal RNA
Rfam family: Bacterial small subunit ribosomal RNA
Source: RNAcentral